GUUUGGUCCUGGCCUUGAAGUCAGUUUUUACUUAAUAUACACAUGCAAGUCUCCGCACCCCUGUGAAAACGCCCUCAUUUUCCCUUAUAGGGAACAGGAGCCGGUAUCAGGCUCAACUUUUGCCCAUCACACCUAGCCUCGCCACACCCACAAGGGAACUCAGCAGUGAUAAACAUUGAAUAUAAGCGACAGCUUGACUCAGUUAAAUUAAAUAGAGCCGGCCAAUCUGGUGCCAGCCGCCGCGGUUACACCAUGUGGCUCAAAUUGACUUUCAUCGGCGUAAAGCGUGAUUAAAGCUAAAUCACUCUUGGAGUUAAACUGAAACUAAGCCGUGACACGCUUGUUACCUAAGAAAAUCUAAAGCGAAAGCUACUCCAAUCAACUCAACUUGAAUUCACGAUAACUGAGUAACAAACUGGGAUUAGAUACCCCACUAUGCUCAGUCUUAAACUUUAACUUACACCUCUAUCGCCCGGGAACUACGAGCUAAGCUUAAAACCCAAAGGACUUGACGGUACCCCAUAUCCCCCUAGAGGAGCCUGUCCUAUAAUCGAUAAUCCCCGUUUAACCUCACCAUUUUUUGCUAAUCAGCCUGUAUACCUCCGUCGUCAGCUUACCACGUGAGCGUCAGUGAGCUUAAUGUUUAUCCAACCACACGUCAGGUCAAGGUGCAACAUAUAAAAUGGAAAGAGAUGGGCUACACUUUCUACCUUAGAACAAACCAAAGACUAAAUGAAACCUAGUCAGAAGGCGGAUUUAGCAGUAAAAUGAAACUAGAGCAUUCAUUUAAAUCUGGCACUGGGGUGUGUACACACCGCCCGUCACCCUCCUCAAUUCUAUAUAAAAGUCUCUAACAUCUUUUUAGGAACUCAGAAGAGGCAAGUCGUAACAUGGUAAGUAUACCGGAAGGUGUGCUUGGAAU
Molecule: non-coding RNA, 922 nt
Filed under: Leucostethus ramirezi
Lineage: Eukaryota; Metazoa; Chordata; Amphibia; Anura; Dendrobatidae
Description: partial 12S ribosomal RNA
Rfam family: Bacterial small subunit ribosomal RNA
Source: RNAcentral